AGUGAACGCUGGCGGUAGGCCUAACACAUGCAAGUCGAACGGCAGCACAGUAAGAGCUUGCUCUUACGGGUGGCGAGUGGCGGACGGGUGAGGAAUACAUCGGAAUCUACUUUUUCGUGGGGGAUAACGUAGGGAAACUUACGCUAAUACCGCAUACGACCUACGGGUGAAAGCAGGGGAGCUUCGGACCUUGCGCGAUUGAAUGAGCCGAUGUCGGAUUAGCUAGUUGGCGGGGUAAAGGCCCACCAAGGCGACGAUACGUAGCUGGUCUGAGAGGAUGAUCAGCCACACUGGAACUGAGACACGGUCCAGACUCCUACGGGAGGCAGCAGUGGGGAAUAUUGGACAAUGGGCGCAAGCCUGAUCCAGCCAUACCGCGUGAGUGAAGAAGGCCUUCGGGUUGUAAAGCCCUUUUGUUGGGAAAGAACAGCAGCAGGUUAAUACCCCGCUGUUCUGACGGUACCCAAAGAAUAAGCACCGGCUAACUUCGUG
Molecule: ribosomal RNA, 492 nt
Filed under: uncultured bacterium
Lineage: Bacteria
Description: partial 16S ribosomal RNA
Rfam family: Bacterial small subunit ribosomal RNA
Source: RNAcentral